GUGGGGAAUAUUGGACAAUGGGCGCAAGCCUGAUCCAGCCAUGCCGCGUGAGUGAUGAAGGCCUUAGGGUUGUAAAGCUCUUUCAGUGGGGACGAUAAUGACGGUACCCACAGAAGAAGCCCCGGCUAACUUCGUGCCAGCAGCCGCGGUAAUACGAAGGGGGCUAGCGUUGUUCGGAUUUACUGGGCGUAAAGCGCACGUAGGCGGAUCGUUAAGUCGGGGGUGAAAUCCUGGAGCUCAACUCCAGAACUGCCUUCGAUACUGGCGAUCUUGAGUCCGGAAGAGGUGAGUGGAACUCCUAGUGUAGAGGUGGAAUUCGUAGAUAUUAGGAAGAACACCAGUGGCGAAGGCGGCUCACUGGUCCGGUACUGACGCUGAGGUGCGAAAGCGUGGGGAGCAAACAGGAUUAGAAACCCUUGUAGUCC
This 425-nucleotide ribosomal RNA is filed under the name uncultured bacterium. RNAcentral's name for it is "bacterial SSU rRNA". It matches the Rfam family "Bacterial small subunit ribosomal RNA", at positions 354 to 796 of the family's 1533-position model. The record is from RNAcentral.